This 77-nucleotide transfer RNA is filed under the name Acetobacter sp. Its description in RNAcentral is "tRNA-Met". It matches the Rfam family "tRNA". Rfam says of the family: Transfer RNA (tRNA) molecules are approximately 80 nucleotides in length. Their secondary structure includes four short double-helical elements and three loops (D, anti-codon, and T loops). Further hydrogen bonds mediate the characteristic L-shaped molecular structure. tRNAs have two regions of fundamental functional importance: the anti-codon, which is responsible for specific mRNA codon recognition, and the 3' end, to which the tRNAs corresponding amino acid is attached (by aminoacyl-tRNA synthetases). tRNAs cope with the degeneracy of the genetic code in two manners: having more than one tRNA (with a specific anti-codon) for a particular amino acid; and 'wobble' base-pairing, i.e. permitting non-standard base-pairing at the 3rd anti-codon position. RNAcentral also lists the same sequence under 3 other names. The record is from RNAcentral. Lineage: Bacteria; Pseudomonadati; Pseudomonadota; Alphaproteobacteria; Acetobacterales; Acetobacteraceae.
GGCGGGGUAGCUCAGUUGGUUAGAGCAGAGGAAUCAUAAUCCUUGUGUCGAGAGUUCGAAUCUCCCCCUCGCUACCA